RNAcentral lists this ribosomal RNA (571 nucleotides) under uncultured bacterium. RNAcentral describes it as "bacterial SSU rRNA". It matches the Rfam family "Bacterial small subunit ribosomal RNA", at positions 274 to 842 of the family's 1533-position model. The record is from RNAcentral.
CGACGAUGCGUAGGGGUUCUGAGAGGAAGGUCCCCCACACUGGUACUGAGACACGGACCAGACUCCUACGGGAGGCAGCAGUGAGGAAUAUUGGUCAAUGGCCGGGAGGCUGAACCAGCCAAGUCGCGUGAGGGAAGACGGCCCUACGGGUUGUAAACCUCUUUUGUCAGGGAGCAAGAGGCGGGUCGGGACCUGCUGUGAGAGUACCUGAAGAAAAAGCAUCGGCUAACUCCGUGCCAGCAGCCGCGGUAAUACGGAGGAUGCGAGCGUUAUCCGGAUUUAUUGGGUUUAAAGGGUGCGCAGGCGGAGGCACAAGUCAGCGGUAAAAUCGCGGGGCUCAACCCCGCUCCGCCGUUGAAACUGUGUCCCUUGAGUGCGCGAAGGGUAGGCGGAAUGCGUGGUGUAGCGGUGAAAUGCAUAGAUAUCACGCAGAACUCCGAUCGCGAAGGCAGCCUACCGGCGCGCGACUGACGCUCAUGCACGAAAGCGUGGGUAUCGAACAGGAUUAGAUACCCUGGUAGUCCACGCAGUAAACGAUGAAUGCUAUCUGUCCGGCCGGAAUGACGGCUGG